RNAcentral lists this ribosomal RNA (497 nucleotides) under uncultured bacterium. RNAcentral describes it as "partial 16S ribosomal RNA". It matches the Rfam family "Bacterial small subunit ribosomal RNA", at positions 28 to 507 of the family's 1533-position model. The record is from RNAcentral.
GAUGAACGCUGGCGGCGUGCCUAAUACAUGCAAGUCGAGCGAACAGACGAGGAGCUUGCUCCUCUGACGUUAGCGGCGGACGGGUGAGUAACACGUGGAUAACCUACCUAUAAGACUGGGAUAACUUCGGGAAACCGGAGCUAAUACCGGAUAACAUGUUGAACCGCAUGGUUCAACAGUGAAAGACGGUCUUGCUGUCACUUAUAGACGGAUCCGCGCCGCAUUAGCUAGUUGGUAAGGUAACGGCUUACCAAGGCAACGAUGCGUAGCCGACCUGAGAGGGUGAUCGGCCACACUGGAACUGAGACACGGUCCAGACUCCUACGGGAGGCAGCAGUAGGGAAUCUUCCGCAAUGGGCGAAAGCCUGACGGAGCAACGCCGCGUGAGUGAAGAAGGUCUUCGGAUCGUAAAACUCUGUUAUUAGGGAAGAACAAAUGUGUAAGUAACUAUGCACGUCUUGACGGUACCUAAUCAGAAAGCCACGGCUAACUACGUG